GAAAGGCUGUUUGGCUUUGAGUAAAUCUGUUCAUCUAGUGGAUCCUUCUCUGGAAAAGCAGGAAGAUCCAGGCUUCUUCUCUUGGGCUUUGGGAAGGUGAGAGCCAUAAGCUGUUGAAGAGUCCUACGUGACUGUUGUACCUGCUCCCACAGGGCUGGGUAUGGUCGCUAGCAGCACAGGACCACCGUGUGUGCUCCGGCUCUUGGGACAGCACCGUGAAGCUGUGGGACAUGGCGGCCGAUGGGCAGCAGUUUGGAGAGAUCAAGUGUGAGGGGGCCCGGGCAGGGGGCCUGGGUGGGUAGAGCCCAGCCCAGCCAUCACCCCAGCCUUGUGUGCUGUGUCCCCAGGGGCAAGGCGGCAGUGCUGUGCCUUUCCUACCAACCUGAUAUCCUGGUGACUGGUACCUAUGACAAGAAGGUGACCAUCUAUGAUCCCAGAGGUGAGCCUUUAAUCCCAGGACUUAGAAGGGAAAGAGAAGCAGAUCUCUGAGUUCAAGAUCAGCAUGGUCUACAUAGUAAAUUCUAGGCCAACUACACAGUGAGAUCCGUCAC
Molecule: long non-coding RNA, 551 nt
Filed under: Rattus norvegicus (Norway rat)
Lineage: Eukaryota; Metazoa; Chordata; Mammalia; Rodentia; Muridae
Description: long non-coding RNA NONRATT014158
Source: RNAcentral